CGUGUUCACAGUGGACCUUGAUU
This 23-nucleotide microRNA is filed under the name Danio rerio (zebrafish). RNAcentral's name for it is "Dre-Mir-124-P1a-v2_5p* (star (passenger))". RNAcentral also lists the same sequence under 2 other names. Lineage: Eukaryota; Metazoa; Chordata; Actinopteri; Cypriniformes; Danionidae. The record is from RNAcentral.